GAAGAACAAAUUUUAUCCAUUUAAGUAACCAACGAAUGAGCUCUGGAAAUUUCUACCGCGCGAAAUGGCUUCAUUUUCUUCUUCCUCUCUCUUCUUCCCGGCCACGUUCAUCUCUCAUAACCACCAUGGCUUCUUCUUCUCUUCUCCUUCCGGCAUACGCCGCCUAUCACUCUGUAAAUUGGAGAGUUUCAGUCGUUCCAUAGGUUGUUCGCGCGAGGUGUCCAACAUUCCAACGAAUGGCGUCGUGAAGUGGAAUUCCGUAUCCAUAAAGGCCGAAGGACUUCAGCAGACGGAGCCGAUGGUUCCUCCUUACAACGUUUUGAUUACCGGCUCCACUAAAGGAAUAGGAUACGCGUUGGCCAAACAGUUUCUGAAAGCAGGUGACAAUGUUGUCAUCUGUUCACGAUCAGCUGAGAGGGUUGAGUCUUCUGUUCAAAGCCUGAGGGAAGAAUUUGGGGAGCAGCGUGUGUGGGGUACUAAAUGUGACGUGCGAGAAGGAGAGGAUGUAAAGAAUUUAGUCACAUUUGUGCAGAAAAAUCUUAAAUAUAUUGACAUUUGGAUCAAUAAUGCAGGAUCAAAUGCUUAUAGCUUUAAGCCUUUGGUCGAGGCUUCAGAUGAAGAUCUCAUCGAAGUUGUCACUACAAAUGCUCUUGGUUUGAUGAUAUGUUGCCGAGAGGCAAUAAAGAUGAUGUUAAACCAACCUCGAGGGGGUCAUAUUUUCAACAUUGAUGGGGCUGGUUCUGAUGGACGACCUACCCCUAGGUUUGCUGCAUAUGGGGCAACUAAAAGAAGUGUUGUCCAUUUAACGAAGUCAUUACAGGCCGAAUUGCGGAUGCAGGACGUCAAAAACGUUGUGGUGCACAAUCUUUCGCCGGGGAUGGUCACAACUGAUCUUCUCAUGUCUGGUGCUAAUACAAAGCAGGCGAAAUUUUUCAUCAAUGUCUUAGCGGAACCGCCUGAAGUGGUCGCAGAAUACCUUGUCCCAAACAUAAGAUCUAUCCCGGCCAAUGGUUCAACAAGGCCCACAUACAUUCGUUUUCUCACUGGACUGAAAGCUUAUUCCCAGAUUUUCUCAAGACUUGCUUUUGGUGCCAGAAGAAACAGAUAUCUUCUAGAAGAUUGAUAAGAACUUCCCCCCUCAUUAUGGACCCGUUGGAGUUCUCCUAAAAGACUGCGCAAGGAAAUGAGCAUUUUCCUAUUUACCAAGGUAACCGAAUGGGAUAGCAUUUACCUCGAGAAAUUAUUCGAGGAACUCGUCAGUGUGGUGGACAAUUCUACAUCAUUGAGUACAAGAGAAAAUAAUAACAUGCAAAAUUUUCAA
Cucurbita maxima (winter squash) is the source of this 1321-nucleotide RNA transcript. It is a transcript of the gene named chlorophyll(ide) b reductase NOL, chloroplastic, with no coding region annotated. The record is from RefSeq and is a predicted model, not a curated record. Lineage: Eukaryota; Viridiplantae; Streptophyta; Magnoliopsida; Cucurbitales; Cucurbitaceae. The transcript is spliced from 15 exons.